RNAcentral lists this ribosomal RNA (975 nucleotides) under Psychrobacter faecalis. Its description in RNAcentral is "bacterial SSU rRNA". It matches the Rfam family "Bacterial small subunit ribosomal RNA", at positions 511 to 1485 of the family's 1533-position model. Lineage: Bacteria; Pseudomonadati; Pseudomonadota; Gammaproteobacteria; Moraxellales; Moraxellaceae. The record is from RNAcentral.
GCAGCCGCGGUAAUACAGAGGGUGCAAGCGUUAAUCGGAAUUACUGGGCGUAAAGCGAGCGUAGGUGGCUUGAUAAGUCAGAUGUGAAAGCCCCGGGCUUAACCUGGGAACGGCAUCUGAUACUGUUAGGCUAGAGUAGGUGAGAGGAAGGUAGAAUUCCAGGUGUAGCGGUGAAAUGCGUAGAGAUCUGGAGGAAUACCGAUGGCGAAGGCAGCCUUCUGGCAUCAUACUGACACUGAGGUUCGAAAGCGUGGGUAGCAAACAGGAUUAGAUACCCUGGUAGUCCACGCCGUAAACGAUGUCUACUAGUCGUUGGGUCCCUUGAGGACUUAGUGACGCAGCUAACGCAAUAAGUAGACCGCCUGGGGAGUACGGCCGCAAGGUUAAAACUCAAAUGAAUUGACGGGGGCCCGCACAAGCGGUGGAGCAUGUGGUUUAAUUCGAUGCAACGCGAAGAACCUUACCUGGUCUUGACAUAUCUAGAAUCCUGCAGAGAUGCGGGAGUGCCUUCGGGAAUUAGAAUACAGGUGCUGCAUGGCUGUCGUCAGCUCGUGUCGUGAGAUGUUGGGUUAAGUCCCGCAACGAGCGCAACCCUUGUCCUUAGUUACCAGCGGUUUGGCCGGGAACUCUAAGGAUACUGCCAGUGACAAACUGGAGGAAGGCGGGGACGACGUCAAGUCAUCAUGGCCCUUACGACCAGGGCUACACACGUGCUACAAUGGUAGGUACAGAGGGCAGCUACACAGCGAUGUGAUGCGAAUCUCAAAAAGCCUAUCGUAGUCCAGAUUGGAGUCUGCAACUCGACUCCAUGAAGUAGGAAUCGCUAGUAAUCGCGGAUCAGAAUGCCGCGGUGAAUACGUUCCCGGGCCUUGUACACACCGCCCGUCACACCAUGGGAGUUGAUUGCACCAGAAGUGGGUAGCCUAACCUUUUAGGAUGGCGCUCACCACGGUGUGGUUGAUGACUGGGGUGAAG